RNAcentral lists this ribosomal RNA (265 nucleotides) under uncultured prokaryote. Its description in RNAcentral is "partial 16S ribosomal RNA". It matches the Rfam family "Bacterial small subunit ribosomal RNA", at positions 524 to 788 of the family's 1533-position model. The record is from RNAcentral.
UACGUAUGGAGCAAGCGUUAUCCGGAUUUACUGGGUGUAAAGGGUGCGUAGGCAGUCUGCCAAGUCAGAUGUGAAAUACCGGGGCUCAACCCCGGAGCUGCAUUUGAAACUGGCGGACUGGAGUCCGGGAGAGGCAGGCGGAAUUCCUAGUGUAGCGGUGAAAUGCGUAGAUAUUAGGAAGAACACCAGUGGCGAAGGCGGCCUGCUGGACCGGUACUGACGCUCAGGCACGAAAGCGUAGGGAGCAAACAGGAUUAGAUACCCU